CUUACCUCGUAUGUAGUUUGGCAAAAGUCAACCAGUGGGGGGUCCCGUGGCCUGACGUGAGGUUGAGGGAGCAACUGAUGGGCAGCUUUGACCAAUCUCAUCAUGUCUUGAACCGCAUGAAGUUGCACAACCCAAAAUGAUGAAGCGGCUCGUGCGCUGAUUGUGUAAAAGAUCAGAAGUUGUCGGGUGACAAUCAUUCGCCUGUAAAAUUUCAGAUCCAAGAGCCAGCGGAGCACUUGAGGGUCACUCGCAGGCCAGUUUGCCAUCGAAAGACGACAGCGUGAUGGCGAAGGCCUG
Molecule: long non-coding RNA, 297 nt
Organism: Hippocampus comes (tiger tail seahorse)
Lineage: Eukaryota; Metazoa; Chordata; Actinopteri; Syngnathiformes; Syngnathidae
Exons: 3
Source: RefSeq, a predicted model, not a curated record